CCUUUACAUUACACUCAUAAACCCUACAUCCUAAGGUUGUAAAUAAAUGAUAGAAUGGAUGGCUAGGAUGAGAGUAGACUGGUCUUGAUGCUAGCUGGAAAGUGUGGUCGUGCCUUGACUGAAUGGAAGGUGGGAUUGAUCCAUUUUGAAUGAAAGGCUAAGAUGGACUCAUGUGGAAAGGUGGCUGGAAAGGUAAAGUGCUUUUCUCUUUCCAGCCUGUCUCUUGGAUCACUCUGAUCCUAAGGGAUAUUCCCUUUGUUUCCUGUAGCUCCCAACGGUCCUCAUAGCCAAGAUAAACACGCCCAGACUUUGCACUUCUUCAACAUUGCUUAAACCGGAUGUGUGGGCGAGAUGAUUGGCAGUACGGUCGAUGGUACGGACCUCCUGUCCGUACCACUCGCCCUAUAUUUGCCCAACACUCUUUCUCACUUCUUUGGUCGAUCCACCAUCUUCUUUGGUUCGCCCUUGGCCGUACCAGGCCGUACAAGGCCGCCCUAUAAUUGCACCUUGGACCAUCUUCUCUCUAACUCCUCCAAAGCCUUCACAUGAUCAGUCUUAGUCUUCCCUAGACUUAAUUUCCCAAGAUAACUACUUCAGAACACUUCUGAAGCUUGAUUGAACUCGUCUUGACAUCUUCUAGAGCUUGCCCUAUUAUUGUACAAGCUCUAUCUUCUCUUCAGUUCAACACUCCCCCUCAAGCUUGACUUUAGGAGAUCCUAAGCCAAGCUUGGAACUCUGAAGAGUCUCCCUCAUUAAAAACCUUACAAGGAAAACCCAUUGGGACAAAACCUUGCAAGGGAAAAAGAGUAGAGCUCUCCAAAGCCUAGGGAUUGGCCAGUGAACUCUUGUGCCUUAGAACCAGCGUGGUUGGACACAAGAAGUUCUGGAUCACGGCCUAAACUGGUGCAGCAACUCAUCAAGACCUUGCGCACUAAACAACUCAGCUUCACCUCUUCAUGGAACCGGUUUGAAGUCUCCCCCUCUCAACUGACUUCACAGCCUCUUUAGAGAAGCUAAGAGAUGACCCGGAACAUCUUUAGUGAGGCUCAAGCAAUGGUACCUGAUACAUUAUCCCAAAGGUGCAUCAGUACCUAUCAACACCAACAAAAUGAAUAUCCUGCAUCCCAAUUGAUGUACACAAUCUCACAGUUCAAUCAUAAACAUUUUCAGUAUCUUUUCAAACACAAGCAAUGACUAAGAUGAAUGAAAAAGGAUUGAAAAGAGUUUUUAAAAGUCUAAAGGAACUUCCCUUGUGUUUUUGUGAGUUUCCUAACUCGGCCAAUGCACCAUCUUCAUGGCAUCAUCAACUUCUUGGAAAGGCAGAAUGGAUUCAUCAGCUUCUCCUCAAUCACCUCUCAUUGAAGCCGCAUUGAUGGAGAGCCUUCUUCCUCACUUACCAAGACUGCUCUGAACAGCCUCUUGCCUAGACACGCCACUGACUUGGUCCGGUUGAUGAUCCUUGUAGAAGUCUUUGCAAAGACUUGUUACUGACCAUGGAUCAUAUGCAUUAAGACUCCCCCUCAAGCUUAGAACCAAGACUAGAAGGAGCUAAGCUUGUGAUGAUCCUAUGCAUCUCCAUGGUCUAAUAACUUUCAUCUUUUAUGAUAGCUUUCUUCUUGUGAGUUUUCUCUCUUCCUUAACCAGGAAUUAGGGUGUUUGAAUCACCAUAGAGAGUCUCACAAGACAAAUCUCUCAUUGCAUAAUGACCCAUGCUACACUUCCUGUAGACUAAGGACUAGAUAUGUCCAAUGGUAUUAUGCAAUGGCCAUCUCUCAUUGCAUAAUCAAUCACACUACACUUCCUGUAGAUUAUGGACUAACAUGUCCAAGUGAUGAUAUGUAAUGGCACAAGACCUUUGUCUCUACAUUCUUGGUUGAUGGCGAGUUACAUGUAUCACUUCCCUUGUGUACCUAACACCACCACAACUCAAUGCAAGAUCAGAUCAUCCCAUUGGGAUCAAACCAAGAUCAUCCAUCCUGUUUGAUCACCAAUGCCACAAUAAUAUAUGAUACUUGAAACAAGCUAGACAAUCAAGACAAUCAAGCAAAGACAAUCAAUUCAGUUUUUUUUAAAAUGCAACAAUAGAUGAAUGCAUUAGGUUACACUAACUAUAUGAAUGAAACAGAUUCAAUCCAAAUGGAACACAAGUCUAGAUGAUAUUUAUGCAAUUAAGGCGACAAGAGUGACUCAGUUCAUGCUUAUGCUCACUAGUUUUAUCAAAGCCAAUGAUUCAAGUAGCUUAGACAUACUUCUAAAUGCUUAUAAGACAUCACUGAUGGAUUUAACUAUGGCAUAGCAACAAUCAGAACUGGACUGAGUCAAGACAAGCAGAUUUCAAUUUCUAACAAUGACAAUGCAAGUUCUAUACAGUUCUCUAAAUGCAAAGCUUAUAUCAGUACAAUUGCAAUUUAGGCUCAUUUUUAAAUGCAUUACUACAUGAAUGCACAAUCUUAAAGCAUUAGCUAUAUGAAUGCAACAGGUUCAAUCCAUGAGUAAUAUUAAAGCUCUGCACAACAGUUUCAAUCAGAACCAAUGAUGCAAGCAACUUAGACAAUUUCUAAUUGAUGCAAGACUUUCAUUGAUGGAUUAAACAUAGGCAAUAGCAUCAGAUAACACUAGGAUUGAACUUAGACAGUAUGAGAUAUGCUUAUGUAUGCAAAAUAACUUAUCAAUCAUGAUGCAAGCAGCAGAGACAUUCUACUCAAUUCUACAACACAUUCAUGAUGAUUCAAGCUAUGACAACACUCAAGACAAUGCAAUAAGCAGAACAUGAGAUUCUGGGACUCUAGACAUUACUUACUAUCAAUAAGACAAUGCAGCAGCAAAACAAUCUCAGUGAAAUUAGCCUAGACAUUAUACUUAGAAGCUAUAAACUCUUAAUGGAAUUAGGGAAAGCACAUAGUAUAAUCAGGAGAUAAACCUAUCAAGACAUAUUAAGAUAGAUGAGACUAGGUUUACUCCCUUGUUUAAGGUGAUGAGGAGUGUUCGUUGCCACUUGAAUCCUCACUUCUUCUUCUUCUCUUAUUGCAAUCACCCUUCUGAAUUUGCCACCAUGAUGGAAUGCUUGUGGAUGCUUCAGCUACUUCUUCAAUCACCUCACAAUAGAAGCCGCCUUGAUAGAGUAGCCUUCUUCUUCACACAGCCAAGAGUGCUCUGUCUUAGUUUGAGCACCCUCUUGAAUAGGCACGCCACUGCCUAGACCCGGUUAGCUUCUUCUUCAGGUACUUGCAAUGUUAAGGAGAAGAACACCAGUGAGUUUUACAACCAUCUGUGCUUCUCCCUUUUUGUAACACUUCUCCAUUGUACACACAAUGGGCACCAUUCUUUCUCUUUCAACUCGGAUUUGAUGAUGAACUAGGAACACCUUUUGUGAACCUGAAACAUCACUCAAACUCUAGCAAAGAUAAGUCACAAUUGCAUUGGGAUCAAUCCUUGACUUCAUCAAGUUUGAUCACCAAGGUCUCAAGCUUUAUAACAUUAGAUAGAAUCAAGACAAUGUCAAGUUCUUAUCUAUGCAAGCAACCAUUCUCUAAAUACUAAGCAAGACCUUAUCAGAUUCAAGUCAAAGUAUUUAGGCAAUUUUAUGCAACUUAGAUUUUAAUCUAAAUGCAACAAUACAAAGCAGUAUGCAUUAAUCUUAAUCAGUUUCUAACUCAUGAAAGCAAGCAUGAUUAGAUAAUAUAAUCUAUCAUCUUAACAAGACAAGUUAAUUUAGAACUGACAUUAAGCAUUUAACCAUUUUCAAUAGUAUUGAUGUCAAAUCUUGAUUAAUAAAUUAUCAAGUUUGAUUCCCAAUAUCACAAGCAAUGCAACAGAUAGACACAAGGCAUUAUCAAGUUCUAUUCUUUGCAAGCUAAAUCUCUAAGUACAAGUAAGAUCCUAACAGAUUCAAGACAAGUUACUUAGGCACUCUUAAGAGCUUCUUUACUCAGUACUUAGACAUGAAUCUAAUACUUCAAUGUAAGACAGCCACAAGACUAUAUGCAACAGCUUUAAAUUCGGUUUCACUCCAUGUAUGCAAGCAGAUUUAAUUAAUCACAACAAGCAUCACUAUGAACCGGAGCUAAGCAUACUAAACAAUUUCAAUACCCAAACAAGACUCUUAAAGUAUCCUGGGACAGAUUCUAAAGCAACUUCAUUUUAGCAAUCUUUUAAACAAUCCUCAGGUUUCCAAUCACAUCACAACAUCACAACCUGUUCAUACACUCAAGCUUUAUACAAGAGAAAGAGAUUUCCUUACAGCCAAGGAACUAGUGUUAGUUCCUUGAAGCUCCUUAGUACAUGGGAAGAUCCGAGCUGUUGGUGUCAACUCCUACAUCUCCUUCUUUCAUGGACCUUUCUCUUGAACCCACCAUGCCUAAGACACCUCCUCUCUUCAUUUUUGAGUCGCCAUACCAGGUACAAGUUGAAAGCUUUCACCUUUCUUCUUGGACAGUGAAUGGGAAUGGCUUGGACAUGCUUCCAAUGGCCUUCUUUCUUCAGGACGACCAUGAGAGAGUGGAGAACGACCAAGAACAGCUUCUGGACGCCAUUGAUGAGCACACCUUCUUCUUGAAGAGGUUGAACAGCCAAAUGACCAUGAAGCUUCUUCUUGGUUUGGAAAUGGCAUGGGAGUGAGCUUUGAGCUUAGCGGAAGCUGGAACCAAGUUCUAAUGAACCUGGCUCUGAUACCAUAUGAGAUUUAAGAGUACUCAGGUUGUAUGUGUGUAUGAAACCCAAAUGGGUAAAGAGAGAGAGCUUGGAAGCGAUUUGAGAGAAAGGAAGUUUGAUGAGUGUUUGUGUGUCUAAGUGUUUAAGAGAUUAGUAACAAGACUGAGAACGUGUAUAGAGAUUCAGGAUGGGAGACUAGAGAGACUAAGAGAAAGUGUUUCAGAUUAGAGAAGGAGAAGGGAAACCCCCUUACUCACUUAAGUGUUUACAAUCACAUAUACAAGGCUUUUAUAUGCCUUUACAUUACACUCAUAAACCCUACAUCCUAAGGUUGUAAAUAAAUGAUAGAAUGGAUGGCUAGGAUGAGAGUAGACUGGUCUUGAUGCUAGCUGGAAAGUGUGGUCGUGCCUUGACUGAAUGGAAGGUGGGAUUGAUCCAUUUUGAAUGAAAGGCUAAGAUGGACUCAUGUGGAAAGGUGGCUGGAAAGGUAAAGUGCUUUUCUCUUUCCAGCCUGUCUCUUGGAUCACUCUGAUCCUAAGGGAUAUUCCCUUUGUUUCCUGUAGCUCCCAACGGUCCUCAUAGCCAAGAUAAACACGCCCAGACUUUGCACUUCUUCAACAUUGCUUAAACCGGAUGUGUGGGCGAGAUGAUUGGCAGUACGGUCGAUGGUACGGACCUCCUGUCCGUACCACUCGCCCUAUAUUUGCCCAACACUCUUUCUCACUUCUUUGGUCGAUCCACCAUCUUCUUUGGUUCGCCCUUGGCCGUACCAGGCCGUACAAGGCCGCCCUAUAAUUGCACCUUGGACCAUCUUCUCUCUAACUCCUCCAAAGCCUUCACAUGAUCAGUCUUAGUCUUCCCUAGACUUAACUUCCCAAGAUAACUACUUCAGAACACUUCUGAAGCUUGAUUGAACUCGUCUUGACAUCUUCUAGAGCUUGCCCUAUUAUUGUACAAGCUCUAUCUUCUCUUCAGUUCAAC
RNAcentral lists this long non-coding RNA (5631 nucleotides) under Brassica rapa (field mustard). RNAcentral's name for it is "long non-coding RNA (BRAP_LNC008944)". The record is from RNAcentral. Lineage: Eukaryota; Viridiplantae; Streptophyta; Magnoliopsida; Brassicales; Brassicaceae.